AUGGACCUAGACGGCUUCCCACUUGACCAUGAGUUUCUGGACGACUACGGGCAAGAGGAAGAGGACGAGUGCGACAUUGACGUGGAGCCUUUGUUCAAGGACGAGCUCGCCAACCAAGCCGUCGGGCCGAAGCUGAAGCGCAAGAGCAAGCGCACGAAGGCAUACACGGCGGCCGAGGACAAGCUUCUUUGCGAGUGUUGGCGAGAUACUGGACAAGACCCCAAGACCGGCGCCAAACAAAAGCAUUCAACUUUUUGGAUUCGUGUCCACCGGGAGUUUCAUGAGCGCAAUAAGUUUCCUCCUUACCAAAUUGUGAGCACGCGCGGGUGGGUGUCCAUUUUGAAGUGA
This 348-nucleotide ribosomal RNA is filed under the name Triticum aestivum (bread wheat). Its description in RNAcentral is "partial small subunit ribosomal RNA". The record is from RNAcentral. Lineage: Eukaryota; Viridiplantae; Streptophyta; Magnoliopsida; Poales; Poaceae.